AUGUUAAGUGGAAAAGGAUGUGGCGUUGCCCAGACAACUCGGAUGUUGGGUUAGAAGUAGCUAUCAGUAUAAGAGCGCGUAAUAGCACAGUAGUCGAGAGUCACUGCUCCGAAAAUGUACCUGGGCUAAACAGAUUACCUAAGCUGUGGAUUGUCCUUUGGUCAAUGGUAGGAGAGCGUUCUAAGGGCGUUGAAGCAUGAUCGUAAGGACAUGUGGAGCGCUUAGAAGUGAGAAUGCCGGUGUGAGUAGCGAAAGACGGGUGAGAAUCCCGUCCACCGAUUGACUAAGGUUUCCAGAGGAAGGCUCGUCCGCUCUGGGUUAGUCGGGUCCUAAGCUGAGGCCGACAGGCGUAGGCGAUGGAUAACAGGUUGAUAUUCCUGUACCACCUAUAAUCGUUUUAAUCGAUGGGGGGACGCAGUAGGAUAGGCGAAGCGUGCGAUUGGAUUGCACGUCUAAGCAGUAAGGCUGAGUAUUAGGCAAAUCCGGUACUCGUUAAGGCUGAGCUGUGAUGGGGAGAAGACAUUGAGUCUUCGAGUCGUUGAUUUCACACUGCCGAGAAAAGCCUCUAGAUAGAAAAUAGGUGCCCGUACCGCAAACCGACACAGGUAGUCAAGAUGAGAAUUCUAAGGUGAGCGAGCGAACUCUCGUUAAGGAACUCGGCAAAAUGACCCCGUAACUUCGGGAGAAGGGGUGCUCUUUAGGGUUAACGCCCAGAAGAGCCGCAGUGAAUAGGCCCAAGCGACUGUUUAUCAAAAACACAGGUCUCUGCUAAACCGUAAGGUGAUGUAUAGGGGCUGACGCCUGCCCGGUGCUGGAAGGUUAAGAGGAGUGGUUAGCUUCUGCGAAGCUACGAAUCGAAGCCCCAGUAAACGGCGGCCGUAACUAUAACGGUCCUAAGGUAGCGAAAUUCCUUGUCGGGUAAGUUCCGACCCGCACGAAAGGCGUAACGAUUUGGGCACUGUCUCAACGAGAGACUCGGUGAAAUCAUAGUACCUGUGAAGAUGCAGGUUACCCGCGACAGGACGGAAAGACCCCGUGGAGCUUUACUGUAGCCUGAUAUUGAAAUUCGGCACAGCUUGUACAGGAUAGGUAGGAGCCUUUGAAACGUGAGCGCUAGCUUACGUGGAGGCGCUGGUGGGAUACUACCCUAGCUGUGUUGGCUUUCUAACCCGCACCACUUAUCGUGGUGGGAGACAGUGUCAGGCGGGCAGUUUGACUGGGGCGGUCGCCUCCUAAAAGGUAACGGAGGCGCUCAAAGGUUCCCUCAGAAUGGUUGGAAAUCAUUCAUAGAGUGUAAAGGCAUAAGGGAGCUUGACUGCGAGACCUACAAGUCGAGCAGGGUCGAAAGACGGACUUAGUGAUCCGGUGGUUCCGCAUGGAAGGGCCAUCGCUCAACGGAUAAAAGCUACCCCGGGGAUAACAGGCUUAUCUCCCCCAAGAGUUCACAUCGACGGGGAGGUUUGGCACCUCGAUGUCGGCUCAUCGCAUCCUGGGGCUGUAGUCGGUCCCAAGGGUUGGGCUGUUCGCCCAUUAAAGCGGUACGCGAGCUGGGUUCAGAACGUCGUGAGACAGUUCGGUCCCUAUCCGUCGUGGGCGUAGGAAAUUUGAGAGGAGCUGUCCUUAGUACGAGAGGACCGGGAUGGACAUACCUCUGGUGUACCAGUUGUCGUGCCAACGGCAUAGCUGGGUAGCUAUGUGUGGACGGGAUAAGUGCUGAAAGCAUCUAAGCAUGAAGCCCCCCUCAAGAUGAGAUUUCCCAACUUCGGUUAUAAGAUCCCUCAAAGAUGAUGAGGUUAAUAGGUUCGAGGUGGAAGCAUGGUGACAUGUGGAGCUGACGAAUACUAAUCGAUCGAAGACUUAAUCAAAA
This 1867-nucleotide ribosomal RNA is filed under the name Staphylococcus aureus. RNAcentral's name for it is "bacterial LSU rRNA". It matches the Rfam family "Bacterial large subunit ribosomal RNA", at positions 1056 to 2925 of the family's 2925-position model. Lineage: Bacteria; Bacillati; Bacillota; Bacilli; Caryophanales; Staphylococcaceae. The record is from RNAcentral.